CAACCCUUAAGCCUAGCUUAGUGUUGGGAGCUUACUUCUGUAACUCCUCAAAAUCAGUGGCAGAGUUUAGUCACCUCUGAGCGUAGUAAUUUUAUCUCGCUUUAGGUGGUGGUUUAAUUCUCGCCAUAAGCCUAUUUUUUCAAU
RNAcentral lists this unclassified non-coding RNA (144 nucleotides) under uncultured Xylariales. RNAcentral describes it as "sequence contains ITS2". The record is from RNAcentral. Lineage: Eukaryota; Fungi; Ascomycota; Sordariomycetes; Xylariales.